This is a non-coding RNA of Nicotiana sylvestris (wood tobacco), 73 nucleotides long. The record is from Rfam. NCBI's taxonomy places the organism in Eukaryota, Viridiplantae, Streptophyta, Magnoliopsida, Solanales, Solanaceae.
GCUCUCGUAGCUCAAUUGGUUAGAGCACCUGUUUAGUAAGCGGAGGUCUUGAGUUCGACUCUCUACAAGAGCA